GAAAAAAAACGGAGCUAGAGACGAACGCGGUUAUUAAAAGACAGUUUGCCGCCUGCAUGUAUGCGAGCACGCAGAGUCUUAAGUCUUCAUUUCAACCUUGUGGACCUUGCUGGCAGCACCGACUAUUUUUAUCAUCUAGUCUCAAACUCUCGCAAUACGCGAGCGAGUAAUCUAUCUAUCUUGAGCGGCGUGAAACACGAUUGAAUUAUAGUACUUACAAGCAAGGUCGAUACAUUUACCAAAGGUCGACUUUUGUUCCGUAUGUUGCACAAUAGCAUAAUCUUUGAGAAAUCCUUGUACGUUUUUUUUUGCUUGACAAAUAUGAUAUUUACAGAUGAAUUUAUAUCAAGGAUCUCUUUCAUCUAUAAAUAAGUUUAUUUAACGAUCGAUGGUGGACCUUUUUAAACUUUUUCAAGCCAAUUUACCGAAUUGGCGGAAUAUCACGAUAUUGCCCGUUGUACGUGUAAUAUGAAGAAUAUUACAAGCUAGUGCUAUGCAACAGUUAGAUCAAUGGACAUUGAACACACUGCUCUAACUGGCUUGAUGCUGCUCGGGUACCCUCGAUAAAAAUGCACGAUCGUGAUACGAAUAAUCACAACGUUUUCAAAUACAGCUGUAGUCCGAUCGCGUUUCUGAUGCUAAAUGGGUAAUAUCCGAGCGUUUCCUUGAAUGAAUUCAUAUCCAGCGAUCGAACCGAUUUGCAAUUAUAAUCAAACUCAUACAUUUUGAUUCUCAGCUAGUGAAUUAUAAGAUGCAAUGGUAUUGAUACUAUAGCAAGAAUAAAUAUAAUUGCGAUUAAAGUCUUGUACACAUUUAUUCAACAAUGAAAAAAAAAA
Molecule: long non-coding RNA, 836 nt
Organism: Pogonomyrmex barbatus (red harvester ant)
Lineage: Eukaryota; Metazoa; Arthropoda; Insecta; Hymenoptera; Formicidae
Source: RefSeq, a predicted model, not a curated record